RNAcentral lists this ribosomal RNA (426 nucleotides) under uncultured bacterium. Its description in RNAcentral is "bacterial SSU rRNA". It matches the Rfam family "Bacterial small subunit ribosomal RNA", at positions 354 to 771 of the family's 1533-position model. The record is from RNAcentral.
GUGGGGAAUAUUGCGCAAUGGCCGCAAGGCUGACGCAGCGACGCCGCGUGUGGGAUGAAGGCCUUCGGGUUGUAAACCACUGUCAGGGGGGACGAAUACUCGGCUUCGAAUAGGAGACCGAGGGUGACGGUACCCCCAGAGGAAGCACCGGCUAACUCCGUGCCAGCAGCCGCGGUAAUACGGAGGGUGCAAGCGUUAAUCGGAAUCACUGGGCGUAAAGCGCGCGUAGGCGGCUCUGCAAGUCAGGUGUGAAAGCCCCGGGCUCAACCUGGGAAUUGCAUUUGAUACUGUGGGGCUAGAGUCUGUCAGAGGGUGGCGGAAUUCCGGGUGUAGCGGUGAAAUGCGUAGAUAUCCGGAGGAACACCAGUGGCGAAGGCGGCCACCUGGGGCGAGACUGACGCUGAGGUGCGAAAGCGUGGGGAGCAA